Molecule: long non-coding RNA, 281 nt
Organism: Solanum tuberosum (potato)
Lineage: Eukaryota; Viridiplantae; Streptophyta; Magnoliopsida; Solanales; Solanaceae
Exons: 3
Source: RefSeq, a predicted model, not a curated record
AUCUGCCAAAUUUCUAACCCUAAUUUCUCUCCUCCUUGCUAAAGUCGCAGUAUUCUCUCAACUCUUCCUUCUACUUCUGACCUCUUCAAUGGUGAAUCCAUAUGCUCCUUAGUUUUUCCUGUUUCUUUAGACACUUUAAAUCUCUCUCUGAAGCUUUGCUGAAGAUCUCUGUUUGUUUCGGACGAGCUGCGCAGAGUUAAAAUCUCUCUGUCAAGCUUUCCUGAAGAUUUCUGUUUGUUUCGGACGGCCUGCGCAGCGCACUUCAAAUAUGGACACCAGAA